MicroRNA precursor from Cricetulus griseus (Chinese hamster), 104 nucleotides. The record is from Ensembl. NCBI's taxonomy places the organism in Eukaryota, Metazoa, Chordata, Mammalia, Rodentia, Cricetidae.
AUGUGGCCCUUUUGGAGGAAGUGUGUCACUGGGGAUAGGCUUUGAGGUUUCAGAAGCUCAAGUAAGGCCCAGUAUCACUCUCUCUUCCUGCUGCCUUUGGAUCC